GUGGGCAUAGCUCAGCUGGUUAGAGCGCCAGAUUGUGGAUCUGGAGGUCGCGGGUUCAAGUCCCGUUGCUCACC
This 74-nucleotide transfer RNA is filed under the name Planctomycetaceae bacterium. RNAcentral describes it as "tRNA-His". It matches the Rfam family "tRNA". Rfam says of the family: Transfer RNA (tRNA) molecules are approximately 80 nucleotides in length. Their secondary structure includes four short double-helical elements and three loops (D, anti-codon, and T loops). The record is from RNAcentral. Lineage: Bacteria; Pseudomonadati; Planctomycetota; Planctomycetia; Planctomycetales; Planctomycetaceae.